Columba livia (rock pigeon) is the source of this 289-nucleotide long non-coding RNA. RefSeq lists it as uncharacterized. The transcript is spliced from 3 exons. NCBI's taxonomy places the organism in Eukaryota, Metazoa, Chordata, Aves, Columbiformes, Columbidae. The record is from RefSeq and is a predicted model, not a curated record.
AAGCUGAGAGAUGAAGUUCACCUGCUACACACUGACUUGCCAAAGUGCAGGCAGCCUCCUGCUAAGUAAUCUUUCCAAGCUGAAGUGCACCAAGCUGGCGUUUUCACUGUACUGUCACAACCACAAGCUCUCACACCUGAAUGGAUACCGUCAUACAAAGUGAGGUUCAUUCAAAAUGCUGGUCUCUUCUGCUCUCACAUGGAAUCAGACCACCUUUGCCCUUAGCAAAAAUGCCCUUUGCCAAAAAUUCUACUGGCUUUCCUCUGCAGAGGAAACAUUGUAUAGCUGA